This 86-nucleotide transfer RNA is filed under the name Promethearchaeota archaeon. RNAcentral describes it as "tRNA-Ser". It matches the Rfam family "tRNA". Rfam says of the family: Transfer RNA (tRNA) molecules are approximately 80 nucleotides in length. Their secondary structure includes four short double-helical elements and three loops (D, anti-codon, and T loops). Further hydrogen bonds mediate the characteristic L-shaped molecular structure. tRNAs have two regions of fundamental functional importance: the anti-codon, which is responsible for specific mRNA codon recognition, and the 3' end, to which the tRNAs corresponding amino acid is attached (by aminoacyl-tRNA synthetases). tRNAs cope with the degeneracy of the genetic code in two manners: having more than one tRNA (with a specific anti-codon) for a particular amino acid; and 'wobble' base-pairing, i.e. permitting non-standard base-pairing at the 3rd anti-codon position. Lineage: Archaea; Promethearchaeati; Promethearchaeota. RNAcentral also lists the same sequence under 3 other names. The record is from RNAcentral.
GCUGGGAUAGCCAAGCGGUAAGGCGACAGGCUCGAGACCUGUUGACUAAUUUAGUCGCGAGGGUUCAAAUCCCUCUCCCAGCGCCA